This is a long non-coding RNA of Sycon ciliatum, 1540 nucleotides long. RefSeq lists it as uncharacterized. NCBI's taxonomy places the organism in Eukaryota, Metazoa, Porifera, Calcarea, Leucosolenida, Sycettidae. The transcript is spliced from 2 exons. The record is from RefSeq and is a predicted model, not a curated record.
UCUUUUUGACAUGCUCUCUUUCCAUCGUCCUUAGCUUUUGUUUGUUGAGAGCUGUUUUGGCUUUCUCCUAUACCUCUGGGGGAUGCCAAGUGAUGGUUUUGAGAGGCUGGUGAUGGCUGUGAGCGAGAGUUUGCCGAUCGGCGUCGUCCUCGCUAUCGAUGAAAAUACUAGUUAUUGCGCACCUGGCAGAUAUCACAACACGUCGGAGCGUCCAGGAGCAAAGGAAUCUUGGGUUUUCACUGGAAUCUAGUUCCUCCAGCAUCGUGUAGCCCACCGUCGGUGAAUGGCGGUCCAGAAAGGUCGAACCUGGUCUUCUGCAGCAUCUCGCAGUCCUGCGAGGCACACUGAAUACGCCUGUCAUGUAUUCUACAAAUAAAAAUCACGAAGUAGUGGACUUUACAGUGAUGAGUCUAUCCUGUAUGCUGCAAAAGACGCAGGAAAUGUGACUGGUGUCUGUACACUCAGUGACUGGACGCCAACACCCCAGUCUUCUCCUGCAGGAUUUGUUUGACAUUGACAUUAUGCAGUAGGUCGGCAUUGACCUGGUUUGGCAGCUAUCCUAAUAGUAUCUGCCUGGUUGGAUGUAGCAGGUUGGUGUUUGCUCGUCGUCCAGUCCCGAAUUUUCUUGUAAGUCACGGUGGAGUACGCGCAGGGUUUGUGAUCAUCCCUGUUCACUUCAAUAUUAUCAAACACAACGUUCCCUUUGUCACUCAUCUUAUCCUGAGUACUGAAUUUGCUGACAAUAUUGCACCACACUUGUCACAACCUACCGCCACUGCUGGCGGUGGCGACUGGUUCGUCAAUGGCGGCCCGGUGACCAGGCUGACUGACUAGCUUCGAGACAGCGGCCUCGUUGUCAACCCCGCGGCAGCCUAAAGGUUGAUUUUAUCGAUCCAGCCUCAGCGCCAUGUUGACGAUGCCCUAGUGACUGUGUGUCAUGGAUUGCCUUGCCAUCAGCGGUCAUUGCCGUCCACCUUGGUGCAGCCCUCAACAACUGGCUCAGCCCAUGGGAGUCUCAAGUGGACAAAGUUGUUGCCAAAGUAGCUCAGAAGAUUGGUGCAUCGUGGUGUAGCACUGCAAGGCCGGCAGCUGGACCGACUGCAGGGGCCGCGCACAUGCAGGCCGCCUGUUGCCAGUGCAGCAUUCUGGAACGUUCCUUCCUUCUGAGAUCCGUGGAAUAAUAACUUUCUUUGCUUCAAAGCAAGUUGCUUACCUUUCUGUUGUGCUCCCAGUGUCCUUACAACAAUAACCUACAGCAAUGUUUUGUUUUCCUUUCCAUUCCCCAACCAAUGAGUACUACGAUGUCGAUUCUAUUUCUGAAUACUUUAGUGUGUGCCCGCGCACGCACGUGUGUGUGUUUGUGUGUGUAUACCUCACUCGCCACUCGAAGUUCUGUUCCCCAUCACUGGAACACUGCCUGUUCUUUCAGGACCUGCCAUCAUCUGCGGAUGGGCAUUCAAUGAUUGUAUUGUGUGUGUGUUUCAUUCAGAAUCAGAUCCGCUAUCGUUGCUAUAAGAGAAAAUCUGUGGGUUCACAUCCA